GAUCGAUGGCUCAGAACGAACGGCUGGCGGCAUGGAUUAGGCAUGCAAGUCGACGAAGCAGCAAUGCUUAGUGGCGGAAGGGUGAGGAACGCGUGAGUAAUCUGCCCUCAAGUUGGGAAUAACAGCUGGAAACGGCUGCUAAUACCGAAUGUGGCUGUUGGGUCGCAUGGUCUGACAGUUAAAGAUUUAUUGCUUGAGGAUGAGCUCGCGUCCCAUUAGCUAGUUGGCGGGGCAACGGCCCACCAAGGCGAUGAUGGGUAGCUGGUCUGAGAGGAUGGUCAGCCACACUGGGACUGAGACACUGCCCAGACUCCUACGGGAGGCUGCAGUCGAGAAUCUUGGGCAAUGCGCGAAAGCGUGACCCAGCCAAUGCCGCGUGCGUGAUGAAGGUCUUCGGAUUGUAAAGCGCUGUCAACCGGGACGAACUUAUGACGGUACCGGUGAAGGAAGCCACGGCUAACUACGUGCCAGCAGCGGC
This 478-nucleotide ribosomal RNA is filed under the name uncultured bacterium. RNAcentral's name for it is "bacterial SSU rRNA". It matches the Rfam family "Bacterial small subunit ribosomal RNA", at positions 15 to 518 of the family's 1533-position model. The record is from RNAcentral.